Molecule: ribosomal RNA, 676 nt
Filed under: Schaalia radingae
Lineage: Bacteria; Bacillati; Actinomycetota; Actinomycetes; Actinomycetales; Actinomycetaceae
Description: bacterial SSU rRNA
Rfam family: Bacterial small subunit ribosomal RNA
Source: RNAcentral
ACACAUGCAAGUCGAACGGGAUCUGCGUGGCCUUUGUGGUUGUGUGGUGAGAGUGGCGAACGGGUGAGUAACACGUGAGUAACCUGCCUUUUUCUUUGGGAUAACGCUCAGAAAUGGGUGCUAAUACUGGAUGUUCUGCGCUUUCCGCAUGGGGGGUGUGGGAAAGGGGCCUUUGUGGUUUCUGGAGGGAGAUGGGCUCGCGGCUUAUCAGCUUGUUGGUGGGGUGAUGGCUUACCAAGGCUUUGACGGGUAGCCGGCCUGAGAGGGUGGGCGGUCACAUUGGGACUGAGAUACGGCCCAGACUCCUACGGGAGGCAGCAGUGGGGAAUUUUGCACAAUGGGGGGAACCUUGAUGCAGCGACGCCGCGUGAGGGAUGGAGGCCUUCGGGUUGUGAACCUCUUUCGCUCGUGUGCAAGCCGCUAUUUGGGUAGUGGUGAGUGUAGCGGGUAAAGAAGCGCCGGCUAACUACGUGCCAGCAGCCGCGGUAAUACGUAGGGCGCGAGCGUUGUCCGGAUUUAUUGGGCGUAAAGGGCUUGUAGGCGGUUUGUCGCGCCUGUCGUGUAAUCCUCUGGCUUAACUGGGGGUGUGCGGUGGGUACGGGCAGGCUUGAGUGCGGUAGGGGAGAUUGGAAUUCCUGGUGUAGCGGUGGAAUGCGCAGAUAUCAGGAGGAACACC